Molecule: ribosomal RNA, 2131 nt
Filed under: Staphylococcus aureus
Lineage: Bacteria; Bacillati; Bacillota; Bacilli; Caryophanales; Staphylococcaceae
Description: partial 23S ribosomal RNA
Rfam family: Bacterial large subunit ribosomal RNA
Source: RNAcentral
UAAGGGCGCACGGUGGAUGCCUUGGCACUAGAAGCCGAUGAAGGACGUUACUAACGACGAUAUGCUUUGGGGAGCUGUAAGUAAGCUUUGAUCCAGAGAUUUCCGAAUGGGGAAACCCAGCAUGAGUUAUGUCAUGUUAUCGAUAUGUGAAUACAUAGCAUAUCAGAAGGCACACCCGGAGAACUGAAACAUCUUAGUACCCGGAGGAAGAGAAAGAAAAUUCGAUUCCCUUAGUAGCGGCGAGCGAAACGGGAAGAGCCCAAACCAACAAGCUUGCUUGUUGGGGUUGUAGGACACUCUAUACGGAGUUACAAAGGACGACAUUAGACGAAUCAUCUGGAAAGAUGAAUCAAAGAAGGUAAUAAUCCUGUAGUCGAAAAUGUUGUCUCUCUUGAGUGGAUCCUGAGUACGACGGAGCACGUGAAAUUCCGUCGGAAUCUGGGAGGACCAUCUCCUAAGGCUAAAUACUCUCUAGUGACCGAUAGUGAACCAGUACCGUGAGGGAAAGGUGAAAAGCACCCCGGAAGGGGAGUGAAAUAGAACCUGAAACCGUGUGCUUACAAGUAGUCAGAGCCCGUUAAUGGGUGAUGGCGUGCCUUUUGUAGAAUGAACCGGCGAGUUACGAUUUGAUGCAAGGUUAAGCAGUAAAUGUGGAGCCGUAGCGAAAGCGAGUCUGAAUAGGGCGUUUAGUAUUUGGUCGUAGACCCGAAACCAGGUGAUCUACCCUUGGUCAGGUUGAAGUUCAGGUAACACUGAAUGGAGGACCGAACCGACUUACGUUGAAAAGUGAGCGGAUGAACUGAGGGUAGCGGAGAAAUUCCAAUCGAACCUGGAGAUAGCUGGUUCUCUCCGAAAUAGCUUUAGGGCUAGCCUCAAGUGAUGAUUAUUGGAGGUAGAGCACUGUUUGGACGAGGGGCCCCUCUCGGGUUACCGAAUUCAGACAAACUCCGAAUGCCAAUUAAUUUAACUUGGGAGUCAGAACAUGGGUGAUAAGGUCCGUGUUCGAAAGGGAAACAGCCCAGACCACCAGCUAAGGUCCCAAAAUAUAUGUUAAGUGGAAAAGGAUGUGGCGUUGCCCAGACAACUAGGAUGUUGGCUUAGAAGCAGCCAUCAUUUAAAGAGUGCGUAAUAGCUCACUAGUCGAGUGACACUGCGCCGAAAAUGUACCGGGGCUAAACAUAUUACCGAAGCUGUGGAUUGUCCUUUGGACAAUGGUAGGAGAGCGUUCUAAGGGCGUUGAAGCAUGAUCGUAAGGACAUGUGGAGCGCUUAGAAGUGAGAAUGCCGGUGUGAGUAGCGAAAGACGGGUGAGAAUCCCGUCCACCGAUUGACUAAGGUUUCCAGAGGAAGGCUCGUCCGCUCUGGGUUAGUCGGGUCCUAAGCUGAGGCCGACAGGCGUAGGCGAUGGAUAACAGGUUGAUAUUCCUGUACCACCUAUAAUCGUUUUAAUCGAUGGGGGGACGCAGUAGGAUAGGCGAAGCGUGCGAUUGGAUUGCACGUCUAAGCAGUAAGGCUGAGUAUUAGGCAAAUCCGGUACUCAUUAAGGCUGAGCUGUGAUGGGGAGAAGACAUUGUGUCUUCGAGUCGUUGAUUUCACACUGCCGAGAAAAGCCUCUAGAUAGAAAAUAGGUGCCCGUACCGCAAACCGACACAGGUAGUCAAGAUGAGAAUUCUAAGGUGAGCGAGCGAACUCUCGUUAAGGAACUCGGCAAAAUGACCCCGUAACUUCGGGAGAAGGGGUGCUCUUUAGGGUUAACGCCCAGAAGAGCCGCAGUGAAUAGGCCCAAGCGACUGUUUAUCAAAAACACAGGUCUCUGCUAAACCGUAAGGUGAUGUAUAGGGGCUGACGCCUGCCCGGUGCUGGAAGGUUAAGAGGAGUGGUUAGCUUCUGCGAAGCUACGAAUCGAAGCCCCAGUAAACGGCGGCCGUAACUAUAACGGUCCUAAGGUAGCGAAAUUCCUUGUCGGGUAAGUUCCGACCCGCACGAAAGGCGUAACGAUUUGGGCACUGUCUCAACGAGAGACUCGGUGAAAUCAUAGUACCUGUGAAGAUGCAGGUUACCCGCGACAGGACGGAAAGACCCCGUGGAGCUUUACUGUAGCCUGAUAUUGAAAUUCGGCACAGCUUGUACAG